Molecule: long non-coding RNA, 155 nt
Organism: Mya arenaria
Lineage: Eukaryota; Metazoa; Mollusca; Bivalvia; Myida; Myidae
Exons: 3
Source: RefSeq, a predicted model, not a curated record
CAAUAAUGGCGGCGCCCAGUGGACGCUAUUAGAUUUUCCAAGUUUCUAGUUCUGAUGUCGGAAGACGUUUGCUGCUCACCGACAAAAAUCAGGCCAAAAAUGGCUAUGCCCAAUGGCCAUUAAAGAAGAAUCAAGGGGCAACCGAUGUGGCCGAG